Molecule: unclassified non-coding RNA, 352 nt
Filed under: Hevea brasiliensis (rubber tree)
Lineage: Eukaryota; Viridiplantae; Streptophyta; Magnoliopsida; Malpighiales; Euphorbiaceae
Source: RNAcentral
UUUGAAAGCCUAGCAGUCUAAAACUAAGGCAACCCUUAAGAUGGAACACUAGCCAACUCGAGUGAAAUAGACCUGAAUCACAACCCAGGAAAAAAACAGAGAAGGAGAUCAACUCCCUUGUCCCAUAGACCACUUGUUGCCAUUGAGAACUCAACCACGAAGAAAGAAUAAGAUUUGAGGAAACUCAACCCAAACAUACCGCAUGCAAGUUAAAAAGCCAACCCAAAAGGUAAAAGAGUUUUCCAAAACACAAAGUCAAACUCAAGGCACAACAAUUUACAACCAGACUCAAAGUUGAAGCCGAUGGACAAGAGCUAUAACAGUCUAGCAAACUAAGAGAGGCUUGACAGGG